Molecule: long non-coding RNA, 428 nt
Filed under: Apteryx haastii (Great spotted kiwi)
Lineage: Eukaryota; Metazoa; Chordata; Aves; Apterygiformes; Apterygidae
Description: lncRNA (ENSAHAG00000011674.1)
Source: RNAcentral
CGGGAAGAGCACCUGUGUGGGGCUGCUGGAGCGUUUCUACGAGCCCCAGGCCGGGGAGGUGCUGCUGGACGGGGUGCCACUGCGGGAGUAUGACCACAAGUACCUGCACCGCCAGGUGGCACUGGUGGGCCAGGAGCCCGUGCUCUUCUCUGGCUCCAUCCGCGACAACAUUGCCUACGGACUGGAGGGCUGCGGGGAGCAGGAGGUCAGGGCCGCAGCCCGAGCUGCCGACGCCUUGGACUUCAUCUCUGCUCUGGACAAGGGCUUUGACACGGACGUGGGGGAGAAAGGAGGGCAGCUCUCGGCGGGGCAGAAACAGCGGGUCGCYAUCGCCCGGGCCCUCAUCCGGUGCCCCUCCGUCCUCAUCCUCGAUGAGGCCACCAGCGCCCUGGAUGGGGACAGYGAGCUGGCGGUGAGCAGAGGGUGGU